GUUGAGUGAGGCCUGAGACAGCAAUGUUUCGUUUAGCCUGGCGGUGGCCCUCCUUGUCUUCAAGAAGAGCAUCCGUGGCUAGCAGUGGAAGAUGGGGUUGGGCCCCAGGACUGACCAGGCAGUUCUGCCACCUUCUAGGGGUGUGAAAUUGGGAAGUAAUUCAAACUGUAUGUGCCUCGCAUUCCUUUUACGUAACAUGAGGGGAAUAGAAGUACCAAAGCGAUGCAGUUCAGUGGAGAAUUAAAUGAGAUAGUCACAAGUAAAAGGCGAGACACGGUCUUACUGCAUUGACCAGGAUGGUCUCAAACUCCUGGCUACAGGCUAUCCUCCUGCUUCUGUCUCCCAAAGUGCUAGGAUUACAAGCGUGAGCCACCAGGCCUGGCCCAAUUGCUUCUUAACAACUUACUAUUCUUUGUUCACUACAGUGUAUACAUAACUGACUUUUUCUUUGGAGCUUCAUUUUGUAAUGAAGGCUCUGGUCACAUGUAAGACUUGUAUUAAAUAAAUUUGCCUGCUGUUCUGUUAAUCUGUGUUAUGCUAAUUUAAUUCUUGAGCCCAGCUGGGUCCUGGAGAGGAUAGAGUGAAGUUUUGUGGCAGCUACAUAAGUCAAUGAAAUUGGAAACAGAAAAACAAUCUUUAAAAAUCAACAAAAUCAUAACCUUAUUCUUUGAGAAGAUCAAUAUAGUUUAUAAACCUUUCAACUGACUCACCCACAGGGAAAAAGAAGAAAACAAAAAUCAGGAGGGAGGGAACAUUAUUACAAAUUUUGCAGAUACUAAAAGGAUUAUAAGGGAACAUUACAAACAACUCUUUGUCCAUAAAUUCAUCAAUUUACAUGACAUGGAAUAUUGCUUGAAAGGCACAAACUACCAAAGCUCACUCAGAAAGAAUGGAUAACCUAGAUACUUGCGUGUAUGUAUGUGUGUGCAUACAUACAAUUUUUACACACACACACACAUAUAUAUAUAUGCACAGUUAAUUUUUUCUAUCUUUUGUAGAGAUGGAUUUUUACCAUGUUGCCUGGGCUGGUCUUGAACUCCUGGGCUCAAGCGCUCUGCCCACCUUGGCCUCCCAAAGUGCUGGGAUUACAGGCUUGAGACACUGAACUUGCCUGGCCUGAUAUAUAUUUCAAAACUGAUUUAAUAGAUAAAGCCUUCCAACAACAAUAAAAAAACCAAUAUUGAGAUGAAUUCAUUGGUGGAUUCUACUAAACAUUUAAAGAGUAAAGAUGUGAAUUUUAAAUAAACCCAGAAACAAAAAGAGAAGGGAACACCCACCCACCCCCAGCUUGUCUCAUGAGGCCAGCGUUAAUCGAUAAUACCAAACAAGACAAAGAAAUUACAAGGAAAGAAAACUACAGAUGAAUAUCCUUCAUGAACUAAGUGAAAAAAUCCUGAAUACAGUAGUCCCUUGGUAUCGGUGGGGAAUUGGUUCAGGGACCCUUAUGGAAAUCAAAAUCCGUGGAUGCUCAAGUCUGUUAUGUAAAAUGGCCAUAAUAUUCUCAUGUAACCUUUUCAUAUCACCCUGCAUACUUCAAAUUAUUUCUAGCCCUACACAAUAAAAAUGCCCUGUAAAUAGUUGUCAUACUAUAUUGCAUUUUUUAUUUGUGUUAUUUUUAUUGUUGUGUUGUUAAUUUGUAUUUUUUUCUGAAUAUUUUUGAUCCCUGUUUCAUUGAAUCUGUGGAUGCUUCUGUAGUAUCCACUGGCAUGAAGACCUAGAUGACAGAGACUGAAGUGACCACAGGACCUGGAAAGUGAGGGAAGAAAUCCUGGGAAAAAGAUAUCAAGCAAAGAAUUGCCCCUUAUUCUACAUUAAACUCUGCCCAAAUUUCAGACUGACUGACACCCAGAAUGUAUAAAGACUUGUACAAUUCAAUAUUAAAGAGCCCAACAUCUCAAUUAUAACGGGCAAAAUUUGAACAGUUACUUUACAAAGGAAGACAUACAAAUUGUUAAUAUAGCCUGUGAAGAAGUGUGACAUUAUUGGUCAUCAGGAAAAAGCAAAUGAAAACUGCAGAGAUACAACUACACAACCACCAGAAUGGCAGAUAUUAAAAAUAGUGAU
Pan troglodytes (chimpanzee) is the source of this 2064-nucleotide long non-coding RNA. RefSeq lists it as uncharacterized. Lineage: Eukaryota; Metazoa; Chordata; Mammalia; Primates; Hominidae. The transcript is spliced from 3 exons. The record is from RefSeq and is a predicted model, not a curated record.